This is a long non-coding RNA of Uranotaenia lowii, 477 nucleotides long. RefSeq lists it as uncharacterized. The transcript has 3 exons. The record is from RefSeq and is a predicted model, not a curated record. NCBI's taxonomy places the organism in Eukaryota, Metazoa, Arthropoda, Insecta, Diptera, Culicidae.
CGUGCUCACAGUAGAACAGGAAAACUUCAUAACUCGCGGACCGGAAAACGCUAAGACAGCUUUGAAUUCAGUACUGCUAAAAAAUAUAUUCAAUCCUUGGAGGAUCUCGACCAGCAGUUCUGAGAAACCGGAAAAGGUAGAUCCCGUCUGCAUUCGACUUUUUCCAACUGGGUGAUGUAUCGCAAGAUAUAUGGUAUUGGACUUAAUCGAUCUACUAGUUUGCAUCCAAAUCUGCCGAACGUUUGGUUGAGAUUGAAGGUGUGCUGUCCACCAACCGUAUUGGGGUUCAACGAGAAUACUCAAAAUAUUGCAAUCGAAAACCCACGUUGGGUGUUCCUUGAAAGUUUUUAACUUCACACCAAACGACGUUUUUGGAUGGACGGUUUUAACCAUAUUAUCCAGCAGUUUCGAAGAAAAAGUGCCAUAUUCUUCCCCCGCACAGGUGUUCCUUGCACCAUAUCGCAGCUAAGCUGAGUG